AGAGUUUGAUCAUGGCUCAGGACGAACGCUGGCGGCGUGCUUAACACAUGCAAGUCGAACGAUGAACCGGUUUCGGCCGGGGAUUAGUGGCGAACGGGUGAGUAACACGUGGGUAAUCUGCCCCGCACUCUGGGAUAAGCCCGGGAAACUGGGUCUAAUACCGGAUAUACAUCGAUGGUCGCAUGGCCUGUCGGUGGAAAGCUUUUGCGGUGUGGGAUGGGCCCGCGGCCUAUCAGCUUGUUGGUGGGGUGAUGGCCUACCAAGGCGACGACGGGUAGCAGGCCUGAGAGGGUGACCGGCCACACUGGGACUGAGACACGGCCCAGACUCCUACGGGAGGCAGCAGUGGGGAAUAUUGCACAAUGGGCGAAAGCCUGAUGCAGCGACGCCGCGUGAGGGAUGACGGCCUUCGGGUUGUAAACCUCUUUCAGCAGGGAAGAAGCGCAAGUGACGGUACCUGCAGAAGAAGCACCGGCUAACUACGUGCCAGCAGCCGCGGUAAUACGUAGGGUGCAAGCGUUGUCCGGAAUUAUUGGGCGUAAAGAGCUCGUAGGCGGCUUGUCACGUCGGUUGUGAAAGCCCGGGGCUUAACCCUGGGUCUGCAGUCGAUACGGGCAGGCUAGAGUUCGGCAGGGGAGACUGGAAUUCCUGGUGUAGCGGUGAAAUGCGCAGAUAUCAGGAGGAACACCGGUGGCGAAGGCGGGUCUCUGGGCCGAUACUGACGCUGAGGAGCGAAAGCGUGGGGAGCGAACAGGAUUAGAUACCCUGGUAGUCCACGCUGUAAACGGUGGGAACUAGGUGUGGGCAGCAUUCCACGUUGUCUGUGCCGUAGCUAACGCAUUAAGUUCCCCGCCUGGGGAGUACGGCCGCAAGGCUAAAACUCAAAUGAAUUGACGG
This 897-nucleotide ribosomal RNA is filed under the name uncultured bacterium. RNAcentral's name for it is "bacterial SSU rRNA". It matches the Rfam family "Bacterial small subunit ribosomal RNA", at positions 8 to 916 of the family's 1533-position model. The record is from RNAcentral.